GACUCUACUCACCCUGAUCAUUUUCAACGCUCCGAGUAGGAUGCUGCUUAACUUCCUGUGUCGAAGGGAACGCACACAUACUUUGCAAGCUGUCCACAGAGCUUAACCCUUGCAGACCCAGCAUCAAACCAGUUGAUUCUAUGCUGCAUACCCUCUCUGAGGCCUGUGUACACCCUAUAUCCUUUUUGAAUUGCAACGAGCAGCGCUGGCUGGCCACAGUAUCUGAAAAUGCUGCCUUUAUCGCUGAGUGUUUCAAACACUUCGGGCUUUUAUUGUUCCUCUUGCUGCACAACGAUUAAAAAAACCUGCAAUGGUGGAGAAAUCAGAUCUGAAAA
Molecule: long non-coding RNA, 335 nt
Organism: Rhincodon typus (whale shark)
Lineage: Eukaryota; Metazoa; Chordata; Chondrichthyes; Orectolobiformes; Rhincodontidae
Exons: 2
Source: RefSeq, a predicted model, not a curated record